Long non-coding RNA from Malurus melanocephalus (red-backed fairy wren), 348 nucleotides. RefSeq lists it as uncharacterized. Lineage: Eukaryota; Metazoa; Chordata; Aves; Passeriformes; Maluridae. The record is from RefSeq and is a predicted model, not a curated record. The transcript has 3 exons.
CAGCAGGAGAGCCCCAGGAUCCCUGGAUCCAGCCCUCAUUUCCAGAGCAGGAUGCCAGGCUCUGAAAAGGACACUUUGAUCAUCUCUGUUAAGGACUAACGCAUUCAAAGUCACGAGCUUUGGCAGGARAUUCCUGUGGAAGAUUCCUGUUCAUCCUUUCUGGGCUUUUUGAUUCUUCCCUCAUUGCCAAAAAGCACAAAUAACAGCUUGGAACACUGGAACCGAAGAACAGCUAACUUGGAGGAGGACUGAACUUGCUACUGAAUAAUGCAAAAACAUGUGCAAGGACAAGUGUGGUGGAUGGAAUCAGGAAUGUGGGCACCCAGGAUCCAUCAGCAGAGUCAAUUC